This 2923-nucleotide ribosomal RNA is filed under the name Escherichia coli O22:H8. RNAcentral's name for it is "23S ribosomal RNA". It matches the Rfam family "Bacterial large subunit ribosomal RNA". The record is from RNAcentral. Lineage: Bacteria; Pseudomonadati; Pseudomonadota; Gammaproteobacteria; Enterobacterales; Enterobacteriaceae.
GGGUUGUGAGGUUAAGCGACUAAGCGUACACGGUGGAUGCCCUGGCAGUCAGAGGCGAUGAAGGACGUGCUAAUCUGCGAUAAGCGUCGGUAAGGUGAUAUGAACCGUUAUAACCGGCGAUUUCCGAAUGGGGAAACCCAGUGUGUUUCGACACACUAUCAUUAACUGAAUCCAUAGGUUAAUGAGGCGAACCGGGGGAACUGAAACAUCUAAGUACCCCGAGGAAAAGAAAUCAACCGAGAUUCCCCCAGUAGCGGCGAGCGAACGGGGAGCAGCCCAGAGCCUGAAUCAGUGUGUGUGUUAGUGGAAGCGUCUGGAAAGGCGCGCGAUACAGGGUGACAGCCCCGUACACAAAAAUGCACAUACUGUGAGCUCGAUGAGUAGGGCGGGACACGUGGUAUCCUGUCUGAAUAUGGGGGACCAUCCUCCAAGGCUAAAUACUCCUGACUGACCGAUAGUGAACCAGUACCGUGAGGGAAAGGCGAAAAGAACCCCGGCGAGGGGAGUGAAAAAGAACCUGAAACCGUGUACGUACAAGCAGUGGGAGCACGCUUAGGCGUGUGACUGCGUACCUUUUGUAUAAUGGGUCAGCGACUUAUAUUCUGUAGCAAGGUUAACCGAAUAGGGGAGCCGAAGGGAAACCGAGUCUUAACUGGGCGUUAAGUUGCAGGGUAUAGACCCGAAACCCGGUGAUCUAGCCAUGGGCAGGUUGAAGGUUGGGUAACACUAACUGGAGGACCGAACCGACUAAUGUUGAAAAAUUAGCGGAUGACUUGUGGCUGGGGGUGAAAGGCCAAUCAAACCGGGAGAUAGCUGGUUCUCCCCGAAAGCUAUUUAGGUAGCGCCUCGUGAAUUCAUCUCCGGGGGUAGAGCACUGUUUCGGCAAGGGGGUCAUCCCGACUUACCAACCCGAUGCAAACUGCGAAUACCGGAGAAUGUUAUCACGGGAGACACACGGCGGGUGCUAACGUCCGUCGUGAAGAGGGAAACAACCCAGACCGCCAGCUAAGGUCCCAAAGUCAUGGUUAAGUGGGAAACGAUGUGGGAAGGCCCAGACAGCCAGGAUGUUGGCUUAGAAGCAGCCAUCAUUUAAAGAAAGCGUAAUAGCUCACUGGUCGAGUCGGCCUGCGCGGAAGAUGUAACGGGGCUAAACCAUGCACCGAAGCUGCGGCAGCGACACUAUGUGUUGUUGGGUAGGGGAGCGUUCUGUAAGCCUGUGAAGGUGUGCUGUGAGGUAUGCUGGAGGUAUCAGAAGUGCGAAUGCUGACAUAAGUAACGAUAAAGCGGGUGAAAAGCCCGCUCGCCGGAAGACCAAGGGUUCCUGUCCAACGUUAAUCGGGGCAGGGUGAGUCGACCCCUAAGGCGAGGCCGAAAGGCGUAGUCGAUGGGAAACAGGUUAAUAUUCCUGUACUUGGUGUUACUGCGAAGGGGGGACGGAGAAGGCUAUGUUGGCCGGGCGACGGUUGUCCCGGUUUAAGCGUGUAGGCUGGUUUUCCAGGCAAAUCCGGAAAAUCAAGGCUGAGGCGUGAUGACGAGGCACUACGGUGCUGAAGCAACAAAUGCCCUGCUUCCAGGAAAAGCCUCUAAGCAUCAGGUAACAUCAAAUCGUACCCCAAACCGACACAGGUGGUCAGGUAGAGAAUACCAAGGCGCUUGAGAGAACUCGGGUGAAGGAACUAGGCAAAAUGGUGCCGUAACUUCGGGAGAAGGCACGCUGAUAUGUAGGUGAAGUCCCUCGCGGAUGGAGCUGAAAUCAGUCGAAGAUACCAGCUGGCUGCAACUGUUUAUUAAAAACACAGCACUGUGCAAACACGAAAGUGGACGUAUACGGUGUGACGCCUGCCCGGUGCCGGAAGGUUAAUUGAUGGGGUCAGCGCAAGCGAAGCUCUUGAUCGAAGCCCCGGUAAACGGCGGCCGUAACUAUAACGGUCCUAAGGUAGCGAAAUUCCUUGUCGGGUAAGUUCCGACCUGCACGAAUGGCGUAAUGAUGGCCAGGCUGUCUCCACCCGAGACUCAGUGAAAUUGAACUCGCUGUGAAGAUGCAGUGUACCCGCGGCAAGACGGAAAGACCCCGUGAACCUUUACUAUAGCUUGACACUGAACAUUGAGCCUUGAUGUGUAGGAUAGGUGGGAGGCUUUGAAGUGUGGACGCCAGUCUGCAUGGAGCCGACCUUGAAAUACCACCCUUUAAUGUUUGAUGUUCUAACGUUGACCCGUAAUCCGGGUUGCGGACAGUGUCUGGUGGGUAGUUUGACUGGGGCGGUCUCCUCCUAAAGAGUAACGGAGGAGCACGAAGGUUGGCUAAUCCUGGUCGGACAUCAGGAGGUUAGUGCAAUGGCAUAAGCCAGCUUGACUGCGAGCGUGACGGCGCGAGCAGGUGCGAAAGCAGGUCAUAGUGAUCCGGUGGUUCUGAAUGGAAGGGCCAUCGCUCAACGGAUAAAAGGUACUCCGGGGAUAACAGGCUGAUACCGCCCAAGAGUUCAUAUCGACGGCGGUGUUUGGCACCUCGAUGUCGGCUCAUCACAUCCUGGGGCUGAAGUAGGUCCCAAGGGUAUGGCUGUUCGCCAUUUAAAGUGGUACGCGAGCUGGGUUUAGAACGUCGUGAGACAGUUCGGUCCCUAUCUGCCGUGGGCGCUGGAGAACUGAGGGGGGCUGCUCCUAGUACGAGAGGACCGGAGUGGACGCAUCACUGGUGUUCGGGUUGUCAUGCCAAUGGCACUGCCCGGUAGCUAAAUGCGGAAGAGAUAAGUGCUGAAAGCAUCUAAGCACGAAACUUGCCCCGAGAUGAGUUCUCCCUGACUCCUUGAGAGUCCUGAAGGAACGUUGAAGACGACGACGUUGAUAGGCCGGGUGUGUAAGCGCAGCGAUGCGUUGAGCUAACCGGUACUAAUGAACCGUGAGGCUUAACCUUACAACGCCGAAG